AUGGAUGUAGUCAACAUCAGUUUUGUUUUCACAAAAUAUAAGAGCUGGAGGUGGAGUCUUUUGAAGGCACUCAAGGAGGUAUAUAAUUCUGGCAUCUUCCUUGACAUACUCAACUUCUUGAAUGACAUCAAGAUUUGCUGCUCCAGCUCUUCCAACAUUGACAACAACUGGCUUCACGAGGGCGCUCAUUGCGAAGUUCUGAAUCUUCUUCGGCAUAGUGGCAGAAAAAAGAAGGGUUUGCCUUGGUGCCUUGAAAUUAUCUUUUACCUUGAAAUGGUUAAGAACCUCCCGAAUGUCAUCCUCAAACCCAAGAUCAACAAGCCUGUCAGCUUCAUCUAA
Molecule: ribosomal RNA, 339 nt
Filed under: Triticum aestivum (bread wheat)
Lineage: Eukaryota; Viridiplantae; Streptophyta; Magnoliopsida; Poales; Poaceae
Description: partial small subunit ribosomal RNA
Source: RNAcentral